CGCCGAUCGCUCGGCUCAGACCCUUUUCGAGACAUCCCAGGCACCAGGAUGCUUUUGGACCCGCUUGCAAGGAAUGAACCCGCCGCGGAGCCGAGCCCCCCGCUCCCACCCCUCGCGCCCGGCCGCGCGCGGUCCCUGCGGCGCGCCGCCCCUCCGACUUUCUCCCUGCGGAAAACGCGCUCCCCGGUUCCCGCUGUACCUUCGGCAGCAGCCUGACAGCUUAAAGACCACCUCGACAGCGGCUCUGAUCCACCCACCGAGAGCCUCGCGGCGCAUUAUCCCGGUUGAAACGGGGAUGCUGGCUGGUUUGCUGGUGAAUUGGAGGCUGUUGCUGGGAGCCCCGGCCAGGUAAUUCAGUGCAAUUGGAGCUGAUUAAUCUGGCUCGUCGUUCAAGACAAAGCCGUGGCCUUCCUCGGGCUUCUAAUCGUGCCGAGUGUUGAGUGAAGUCGUCAGGAAGGUAAGAUCUAAUUGAGAGGCUGAGGGGAAGGAGAGGUUAGAGGUCCACGGCUGGCUGGCCAGAGCCACGUGGGUGCUUGGCAAUAUCAUAUUUUUGGGUGUUAUUCCCACACAAAGAGAAAAGCUGCUGCCCCAUGACACCCCUCCUGUGCCUGGCUCCGCGCUCGUUAUGCGUUAAGGGCAGGAGAGGUGGCUCAGGGAGAUGUUUGGGGAGGCAGAUGCUCUGGUCACCCUGCUCCUCACCCUCUUUCUGGGUGGCAGCAAGGAGGUCCGGAGCAUGUCCACCUGCUGCCACAGCAGGUUCGAGCUACCACCUCCAGCGCAACAGGUAGAGGAGAGGGGACCAUCCUGACUCGCAGAGUGGGAAGAGAAAUAUCCCUGCGAGGGCACACGUGGGCCGUUCAGAGCGGUCACAGCGUGGGACUGCGUCCGUGGGGUGCCUCGGGGCUGGGGUGUCCGUGGGGCGGCAGGCGGGAGCACCGCGCCGGCUGAGCGGAGGCAGAUAGAGACGCGUCCGGAGUGAGUCACCCCGAAGGGAAGUGGAGUGUGAGCUGUCUGCGGAGAUGAUAACAGCGCGGUGGGGCGGGAAGCGUGUUUAUUUUACAAGCUCUGCGGUGGAGGAGAUGAGUGUUGAUGGACAGAGUUUGGAAGCGGCCGCUCACCAGGGAAGGGGGGUCCCGUGGCCUUUUGAAGGAUGCCCAGGCAACACUGCUCCGUCAUUACCUGCAACUUGCUUCCUGCAAAUUAGGUGCUUUUGGCCCUAUAUUCAGAAAAUGCCAUGUUGCUGGAGCGGCAGCUUUAAAGCAUAGCUUAUUUAGGAGAGAGAAAGGCCCGGAUCCAGCAAAGCAUUUAAGGAGGUGCCAGGUUUUCUGGCCUUGUGCAUUGGUCCAGCGGGACAUUUCCUUUGCUGCCCUCUCAGGACAGCAGCCGUGGGAUGAUGAGCCCUUGUCACCUCCAGCGUGGCUUGGAGCUCGUGUCUCCUGGCCAUGCAGGGCAGUGCUGCUAAUUGUGGUGCACAUGCUACUUUAAUCAAAACAUCAAAACCCAGCUAGAUCAGAAAACUCCCUUUGAUGUCUCAGUAUUUCAGCAGAUUGGAAGAUGAAUACAACGCAAGCGAGAAGUGUUUCACAGGCCUGCCCAGGUGCUUCUGUUUCCAAAAGCACGUAGAAAUUGCCGUCACCAUAUCACAGAGGAGGAAAAGGUCCCAGCAGUGACAGCAGGAGAAGGAUUUGCAACCCCAGGACUGAAUCUGUGGCCCAGACGGGAAAGGACAGAGCUCGCGAAGGUGUACUGGAUUUAAGUGAUGUAAAUAAACCUGUGUUAAAGAUGUGCAGGCAGGUAGCACUAUUGCUUGAUUCCUGGAUCUGGCCAUCUGUGAGUCACAGAGGCUGCAGGAGAUAUUUUACAGUUUCUUUUUGACUAUCUGAUGUCCCUGGAGCUUGUCAGACAGGAUUGGAAGUGGGGUAACCUGCAAUCUGGUGGUCUUGGCCACGUGAUGGGGAGAAGAACUGCGAGAAAGACCGAGGCAAAACUCAUGAGCGAAUCAGAGAGUGCGGGGGUUGAUGCUGAAUAGAAAUAAAUUCUGUUUUGAACUUAAUGGAACAUAAAUAUCGGACACUUAGCAACAGUACAUGUAUUAAUCCUGUCUGGGAGAAAGGAGAAGCUGUUCUGAGAGCCUCCAAACCAGAAAACACAGGACAAUUGUACUCCUUUAUAGAAACUUGUGGUUUUUCUGAUGAAAUUUAUUUCAAACUAUCCAAACAUUUCAGGGCUGCUCUGAUGACUGCUCAGAGAAGGGGCUGUAUAGGAGUGCGGUUCACAAACAGAAGCAGCUUUGCAAAGAUGAAAAUUGCUCUGACAAAAGAACUGUGUCCAGCGCAUUAUAAACGGAAAGCGAGCAGUGUUUGCUGUAACCCCUCUUCACCUGGCCGACAGAGAUGUGCUAAAUACAAGAUGAUGGUCGCAAGAAAAUCAUGACUUGUAAAGAUUUUUUUUUUCCAGCUGCAACAGGAAGCCUUUAGCUCUGUGCGGGUUGCAGAGCACUUCAGCGUGCAUGCUCGGGGCGGGCAUUUAUUUGUAGUGAGUUGUCAGAAACCACAGACUCAGGUGUUCAGUCCAAACACAUCUGCCGUGCUGUGCGUGAAAAUCAAGCUGGCGAAUUCACUCCUCUGAGUUUAUUGUCAAAUAUGCCAUUGGAAAGAAGCAGAGUGGCUCCAGAUUUAAGGCCUCUGAUUUUGGAUGUUGCGUGUGUGCAGUGGAUUUGUGAGCGCUGCCCGUGUGGGAAUUUAAGAGCAUCCCUGAGCAGGAUGAAUGCUUUCAAACCGUACUGAUACAAAAAGAGCCAACUUCUGCACCAGCCAAAAGUAUCCCUUUUCACAGGGCUGUGAAUGAAUUGUCCCCUGGCUUGUACUACCUUCAGAGGAGAUUGUAUCAUGGUUCCAGGCUCCGGGGUUUAAAAUAUAUCACAACUGGCUUCCCUGCUCGCCUGGCGCAGUCCAAACCAAACAGCUUGUGUGUAGCGCUCUUGAAACGAAUCUCCAUCUAGGUGCCGGACAACUGGUCAUAAACAGCGGUGCACAUGCAGCAAGCCGACGCCGGAGUGACAGACAGCUACUGCCACCUUUGCCCUACUCACCCGGCACGGGGAGAAAACGAGAUUGUAGGCUGGAUGGACACACAACACCGCGAUCGACUCCUCUUCAGUGCUUAUUAUACCUCCAAGCAUUCAGGAUCACCAAGACUUCACCUCCCAUCGCAGGAGCUGGAGGGGGAAGCCACGCUCAUCUGAGCAGGGGAGGAGGAAGCGUGGCUCCCAGGAUCACAGAGGGUCUUCCAGGCUGGUGAUGGCCAGGAGAAGACUUGUAGAAACAUUGCCCAGAAACCUAAGGAUGCCCUGAGCUGUAAAGAGCCCUCCAGAUGCCACAAAACCAGUUGUGGAGGGGACAGUGGCUGUGGUUCUCCUGCAAGGUGCAGGUGAUCUGAAGGGAAGAGGUGGCCAGCCCUGGCCGACAUUCCCUGGCCACUUUUUCUUACUCGUGUGGACAUAGCCUGUUUGAAGAUGCCAACCCCGAGGUGGGAAGGAGUAGAUAAAAAUCAGAGAACGGAGAAGAGCUGACUAGGAUAUUGGUCUACUGACAGCAAGUAAAAUGCUGCUGGAGAAAAUCCUCUAAAUUCCAGGCAACAAGAAAAACUGGGCCCUAGAGCCCCGGGAGAGAACCUAUAAGCUUCUUUCCAGGGCAAGGGCAGAGGCAAGUGAGAUUUUCUGUGCCAGUUGAGAAGUCCAGAGACCAGGUUCUGCGCUGGAUCUCACCCAAGGCAUCUGGCUUUUCCAUGCAUAAAUUCCCCAUUCCCCACUUUGGCAGUGAGACCGUUGAGUUGCCUUUGCAAAGCUCUUUGAAGGUAUCAGUAAGGAACAGUUUCUUCUGUCUUUGGCUAUGUCAGGCAGGUGACAGGACAUCGGCCUUGCGGUGCAGUGUGGCUGUGUUUGGAGGACAUCAACCUGUCUUCCCAUGUCCCUGCGUGGGGUAUGUUUUAAGCAAGGACAACGUUUCCCCUCUGCAUCCAUCUCCAGGAGGUUCCAAUGCUACAGUUUGUGCUGAACCAUCUCUUUUAUUGGCUUAAGGUACAAUCCACAUCCACGAAGUGGAGGCAACAGGAAGGUGACAUAUAAGCAGCUGGCCAACAUCUUCUGGAGAGCUGGUCCUUUGCUUGAUGGUCUCCCUCAGAUGCACAUGGAGCAAAGCGUUGGCUGUUGCUCUACGAUUUCUUUGUGCUCCCAGCUGACGACAGUGCAUGAGCAGGGCAUUGACUCCUGGCUGAAGUAAGAUGCAGGACUAGGCUUUGGAAAAUAGCCAGGGGACACGUUCCUGCACUCGGACCAGCUUUGAGUCCACCGUUUUGCCCAAGUGCAAUCAGUAAUUGAAUGCAAUUCCAUGUCCAAAACCUUGUUUCUCCUGAAACACGUCGGAAAUGAACCUCACACAGCAAUGUUGGGCUGUUUGGGGCUCUUGGACUUCUUUUUCUCUUGUGAGUGGGAAACCUUGUAUUUUAAGUAAUGUUCUUUUCAGAAAUGACUAAUUAAACAACAGAACAGGAAAUGUAAGAGACAGUAAAAUCCCCUCAGCUGUCCAGUGCAUUUCUACGUAAAUAUGAUGGUGAAAAGAUGAAAACAAAACCUUUCAGAGACAAAGACAAGUGAGAGACCUGGUGACGCAGCAAUGAAAAAUCUACACUUUGUUAUAACAAAGCGAAACCACUGUGUUUAUUCUCUGUCUUGGAGGAUUUGGUGCAAUUAUUAGGUGGGGGGAAGCCACAUAGAAAUCAGAAUAGUCCAGAUUUUUGCUAAAAUAUUUGUACAAAUCAGGUUAUUCAACUACAGCAAAGGAGGCCAUUGCUUCUGAAAUUAUCCUGCAAAACUGGAAGGACCGUAAAUGCUUGGCUUUAACAGCUAGCUACAUACAAUGCAAACCUAAUCAGUGAAGCUUGAAACGUUUGUGGCAGGGAAGAAAGGCAGAGUUUUAUGGCUCUUUCUAGUGGAGGUGUGCGGAAGACUGGGUGAUAAAGCUGCCUAAUGCACAUGGAGAAAUGCAACCACCGAACUCCCAUCUGCUGAAGCCACUUUGUGGUCAGAGGCAACAGGGUAAAUUUUCCUGGUAAAUUAUAUCAGCUGCUUUUACCUGAGCUGUGAAGGCAGGGAGGAACUGUAACACGGAGGCCUCAUCGCAUCCAACCUCCCCGGGCGUGCUAGGGUGGCCUCCUCUAACUCCAGCCCCCGGCUGCAGGGCUGUGGGGCAGGGACCCAGCAGAAACAAUCCCAGCAAUCUGGGGAAGAAAUGGGGUCACACCAUCUAAGUUUCGGUUUUGCCUCCAGCAAAGGCUAAAAAUGUUCCACAUCACUUAGAGGUGUCAGAUUGUUUAGCCGUAGGCUGGGAAUGGCCCUCCGAACAUCUCAGUUACAUGUUACUCUGAAUAUCUCAGCAAACGACUUGCAGCUAAUUGAAAUAAAGAAAACACAGUGGCUUGGUUUACGCGAAAGACUGUAUAUAGCAAUGCAUCCACUGCAUUUUGCAUUGAUCAUAAAUCAAGAUUUAUUAUCCCACCUGGCAAAUAUUGACUUCAGCGCUUCUUUCUCACAUCAAUAUAGCAGUGUUCAUCGCAACUAAAGUCAAUCGUUUCUUAUUAACAUUUCAGCUCUAGAAGUGCGGAGCCUCUGAAUCAUCUUAGAUAUGUGCCCCAGAAUCCCAAAUCCUCCGGUCAGGGGUUUUUGACUUGCUUUGGUUUGCGGAGCCUGAAUUUUUUUCCCGUGGCAAUGUAGCUCCUUCUAAAGCAAUUUAACUGUACUGAUAACAGGCUUCAGGUUGAUGAGUUACUUUCAUUGGACCCUGCAUAAGUAGGGAUUUGUGGAUCAGAGGUUCAAAAGUGCAGAUUCAAGAGAUACAUGACAGACUGUCUCUUGGAUCACUUAGCAUACUGAAUGAAAGGGGUUCCUGAGUCAUCGGACAGAUGUGCUCCAGAAAACUUCUUAACAGCUGUCACCAAGAAUGGGAAUGUUGAAGGGAACAAGAGGCUGUGGGUACUUGGGGAACUCGCAUAUGUUUGACCUAUGAAUUCAGCUCAAAGUUGGGAAAAACAUGUAAGUCAGAGGAUGUGAAGUCACUCACACUCUGACAGUGUGUGCGUCCACUGCCUGUCCCCACCCCGCGGGCAGUGUGGGGUGGUUAAACCUUGGAGAUUGCCGUCUGUAGCAAAGUGCCUCGGCAAAACAGGGUGGCUGAAGCCCCGGUGCCCGGCCAGAGCAGGGGUCUCUAGCACUGGAAUUUCUCCAGAGCAGAACAAAGAGAUAGGUCUUAAAUACCACCGAGCCAGAGCGACUGGGGGAAACGCAGAGGGGCUCAGACACAGGAAAUUUGGGGAGGAGACAGGAUCAGAAAGGCACGUGUUCAUGGUCUCACUCAGGUUAAUGGGAAAGAAUGAAAUGGCUGCAUGAAAGAGAGAAGAAACUCCGCAUGUUUGGAGGACAACCCUUGGGCAAGUGGAAGGAGCCAGGACUCCUUGCAGAAGGUUGAAUAACAAGUGGAGAGGAGAGUAAAAUGAUAGUCAGUGUUGUCCAUAUCUCCGUGUUUCGCGUGCAGGUGGUGUCAGUACUGAAGCUCUUGCAAAACCACGUCAUAUUGUGGUAAUUCGUAGGAUGCACCAUCCCCAAAAGACACCCCGCACACUGUGGGGUGCUCGCCCAUAUAAGUCUGUCACAGCUCUGCGGGCUUGCAGAAAGGCUUGGACAUGUCUCACUUAACUGUAGCCACCUGCAAAGUGGGUAUCAGCAGUAAGCUAAGUGGCCAGGCUCCUUGGUCUGUGGAGAAAUGCUGGCUUCUCCAGGAGUUCAGGCCCUCUCUCCCCAGGCAUUCGUUCUUGCAGAACCCCUGGAAGUGCUUGGCAAAGCUGUAGAGGGGCCCACUUAAGUGGUGAAGACUGGACUUUUUUGGACAAGUGCGAUUGGGUAAGAUGAAUUCAUCCCUGUGAGCCCAUGUGGAGAAGACGUUCGUGAACUGCUUGCUGAUUUGAGGCAUUUCCCUUGAGCAUAUCUCAAGCAUAACUAUGGAAGAAAUUCAAGCUACCAAAGCCCACAGCGUUGCUGCCGCAGAUGCCAAAAUUCAGAAGUGCAGCCCCCAGUUGCAGCAGGAGAUUCAGUAGGCUCAAAGGAUUCCCAGUUGUAAGGACUCACAUUGAUAUAUGGGUCAUCUUCCAUCCUAAAAGCACUGUACAAAGUGACAGGCUUCAUACAGCCCCAAAAUGCUGCAUGAUCAGGAAAUGACUUGGUUUAUAUCUGGCAUUGAGGAAAAGCCAAAGGGAAGAUGUUUAACCAUCUCUCUGGAUUUCUACCAAGCCAAGAUGAGCAGCACAGAGUGUUGGUCAGUGUGCUUAUAGUCAGGCCUGAAAUGAGUAGAAAAAUGGUCAAAAGUUUUCAUUUUCUUUUUUUUUUCCCUUCUAAAGUGCUUUUUUUUUUGUCAAGCUUGAUAGGAACAAUUUAUUUCUGAUUGUUCUUUUUCUGUUUCAGAUUACUGAUUUUUGUUGCUUGGGAAAAUUCCUAGUUUUAAAGAGAAUUAGUAAAUAUUUAGAGCUCUGGUUCCAAGUAGCUCCUAUUGAGAGGAGCAUCACAGGGAAUGCUACCACAGCCUGCAUUACUCACAGCACCUUUUCAGUGGAUACUCUGAUGCAAACUGUGCAGGGGCUUCUAGUUUGGGGACUUUGAUUUAAAAGGAAAUGUUGAAGAAAAUGAAAUCUCUCCUAUUGCUAUCCCAGAUUUCUCCCAGCCUGGGUUUGUAUCCAGAGCUGAAUCCAGACAGAAGAUCUUUAAUGGUUCUCAGUACUUGCUGCAUGUGGAUCUAGGGGGUCAUAUACAGCUCACUGAGUUUUGUCUCAGGGUGUUUGUAUGAAGUAAGUCAAAUGCUCUCUUAAUUAGCUAAUGAAUGGCAAAUUUUAUUAUGUGAUCAAGCUCUGCUAACACUUUUUCUCUCAGUGCUAAUGGGAUGUCACAUAAUGGAAUAGGCCACAGUGCCCUCUACACAUGUCCAAUUUCUAUUACAUAUUGAAACAUACUUUGGUGAGAAGCAUUUUUAAGAAUAUGGGUCAAUCCCAGGGUGUUCAGCAGGUUCUCAUGGUGUUCGAUUAUCUCUUAGAGCUCUUACGUCACCUGCUUUAGCGCUAUUUCAAAAUCAAAAGUGGGUCUGUCCUCACAUCGAAUGAAAGUGGUUCUGCUCUCAUGAACAAACUAGGGCAGUCUGCAUUGCUUACUCUACCAGUAUAUAGCGAAACACGAUGCUGUGAAACAGUUAAGGCUGUUUAAGAGCAUCAGCUGGCAAAACAAACAUUAAAUAUUUAGGAAAGCAACAACAGCCAUGUCCCAUGGCACACAAAUGCAGCUAAUAGGGAGCCACCUGCUUUGGCCUGAUCUGCAGUGUUUCUGGAAUAAACACAAUCUUUGGACAUAAAUGCAAUGCAGAAACAAACAUUAAUCCUGCCCUGUGGUGAUGCUGUGAAUGGAAAGGGGGAACAUGAAAUUACCAAAAUCAUUAAGGAAGUCCAAGUUAACAGCGAUGUGGAGAACCUUGUUGUGGUGCAAAGAUGCCUUGCUUCCUACACAGCCUGGUUGGCCAUAACUCAUCUGCUGGAAGUGAACACCAUCUCCUCCUCCCAGCCCUUUCAAGAAACUCCCUUCACUGGUACCUGUGACUUGCUGUAACAUUGUCCUCCCAGUUGGCCAAGGCAUCCUCCAGCCCUUCUUAGUCCAGCUUCUUGGGAAGUUCAGGGGACCAGGAACAUCCUGUUUGCCUUUAUGGACCAACCCUUUCCUACAGCAAAACCUUGCCCUGCUAAGACUGAUGGAGGUUGACAUUUGGUAUGUGACGGCAGCACCGCUUUCUCUUGGAGGGCCACCUCAUGCAUCAUGGACUAGCUCCUGCUUCCACCCGGCGUGGGACCAUUGAGGAAUUUCCGAAGCCUGAAUUCAUGGCGACCACACCAAGGGUGAACGCGUCCAGUUCUGAGUGGCCAGAAGGUGCCAGGAACCCUCUGUGCCCCCAUCGGAGGAUAGGGAGCAGGUCUGCGUCCCGCUGAGACAGGCAAGGCUUAGGCCAGCUAUUUGUGGGAAAAGAGCUCUGUAUGGUGGUCACUGGAAACUGCUUUCUGGGAAGACAGAGUGGCCUUCACCCUUCAUCCCCAAGAAACGUGCCUGGCUGUUCACAGUGUCCCAUGCCUCUUCUGUGACCUGUCACCACCUCUCAGCACCGGGGAGCCCUGAGGACGCGACGCAGCCGUGCAAAAAGCACCCACGGUGCCACGGCUCCUGCUACGCGUGAGCCGGACUGAGCACGCCUGUUUGCCCUUGCUGACGGAGAGCGAAACCCUGCACGCGCGUGGGCGGAGGAGGAAUGUCCAGCACGUCUGCCUGUGGGACGGCGAGCGCGCCAGGAGCUCUGUGGCUCUGGAAAAAACCACAGGUGUUUGUAGCCUGGACCGAGCCUCACCUGGACCAAAUAUCAGCUGCAGGUUAAAUCUGAGCAAAAAGCCAGGAGAAGGCCUGAAAAGAGAGCUGGGAAAACAGACAUCAGCCAGUGUCCACCAAAGACAGAGACCAAGAAUGUUCCAGCCAAACCACCAAAGUGCCGGCCAAGGUGCCGGGAGGAGGCCGGGCCGGAGGUGGGGUGAGAUGCCCCUGCUCUCUCUUGGGUGGCAGGACAAAUGCUGGACCGUGCAUCCUGGCCUCUGAGGAAACAGGGAAACAACCCUUUGGUAGGAGGAGAGUGAAAUCCCUUGAAAUCUGCUGUGUUUUCCGCAUUUCCUUCAAGGUCUUGUCCCCGUGCCGUGCUCUGCAACCCAGCCCACGUGCUCCUGGGGGCAACGGAUGAAGUAUUUAUUGGUGUCCAACCCACUCAGCCCGACUACGUACCGUUUCUUGACUUGGAUACGAGAGGCACCCAGAAUAAAUCAUCUCAGCUCCGUGUCAAACUUGGUCCUGAGGCUGCUGUCAAAACCUGGCUGGGGCUGCAAAGAGCAACCGCACUGUGUAUUGAAAUCGUCUUAAGUUGUUCCCAGUGAAAGGAGGAGCACACAGAGCCCUCGCAGGAUGGUGGGACCUGGCAGCUGCAGCAACCCGUUAUCUCCUGUGCGCGUUGGCCAGCGGUGUGUAGAAGGGCAGACACUCUUCCAGGUUGUUGGCUCUUUGGGACUCUUCAGGGCUGCAAACCUUUCCAGAGAUUAGCUGGGUGCCUCUGAGCCGCUGAAGAGAGAGAUCUGCAUUGUGUAUCCCUACUGCUCCAUCCCUUACUAAGGCAACAAGAAUGCACCAAGAUGCUGAAGAGCAAGUAUGUCCUGCAUUAACUGCAACACUACCAGAUCCAUAGGUGGUGAGGCCCAGGGCAGGGAGAUGGCCUGCCGGCUGGACAGCAUCUUUCACGAGGGACCCUCCUUCCUUGCAUCCCUUUCUGGAGAUGGCAGUAGGGAAAUGAGCAGGGAGGAAGGCUGGGAAGAUAGGACGGGGAGGGACACAGACGGGGUCAGUGUGAGGACACGACGCCGAACAGUUGGGCAGCUGUUGGGAGCAUGAGGCCCAAGUCUGGCUACCGCACUGAGAGGCAUGUGCUGUGUGAAGCUAGCAAAGCAACUUGCGUGGGGACACAGCAGGUUUUAUUCUGCCUGUCCAAGCCGUGCCAUUUAAGCACCAUAGCUGCAUCUGCUGAGCUCCUACAAGCACAACGUGGCUCCACUGUUGUAGCCUGUGGAGUGACCAUGGCCUAAAAAAAGAUUUAACCAGGAGUGAAGAAGACAGAGGAGGUGCUCAGGGACUUGAAAGCUGCCUGAUCAGCAACAGCAGAGGAUGGACAGGGUACACAUGCCUUCUGUGGCCUCCAAGUCCUGCAGCGAUGCCUGAAGGCCUUGAGGUCUUCUCUGCUCUGCCUAGAAAGCCAGCACAAGGAUGCCCCUGGACAGCUAGUGAUGGGGCAAAAAAGCUGUGGUUUGCCUUGCAGUGCCAGACUGCGGCAUCUUUGACAAGUGGUGUAGAGUGAAGUUCACUGGCUGGAUUCACCUGAGCUGAGCUGUUUGCUCAUUGCCCUUCACUUUAGUGGUGAGCCCCAUGCAAGGGACAAUACCCCACCGUCUGUCCAGCCCUGGACAUCUCAAGACGUCCAAAAAGAGGCAUCAGCACUAUUAGGAGGGGAGCAGGCUGCAACGUGAGGAUUCCUCCUCAUCUGAGACACUCCUCCAGGGGCAGGGACGAUGUGGGGACAUUUCAGAAGUGCUGCAAGCUCUUGGUGAUGCUGGGGAGCUGUGUCAACCCUAAAUGAAUCUGCGAAGGCAGUGUCGGGUUGUGGCUGAUUCUAAGUUAAGGAGUCACAUUUUGCACGUCCGGUGGCCGAGGGGCUCUUUGUCUCUUCUCAUCUGGGCUGUUGAAGGCUGCUGAGAUCGGAUUUCCGAGGUGCUCUGGUCGUUCGAUAACGGAGACCCACGUGUGAAGCGGCAGCGUAGUUUUCCUGCUGCCAGCCGUGCUUCACCCAAAGAUAUUGGAUCGGGCUCUGAAGAGAUGGGGGCAUUUUGGACUUGGGCCAUAGCAGCACAUUCAGCUGCAGAUGGUUACAGGAACAGAUAACUGGUCCUGCAGAAAUUCCAGGAAGUCUGAUCACCCUGGAACAUAGAUCCUAUUCACAUCGUCUGUAACCUGAGAGCAGCUCUUCGGAGCUGGGAUUAGCAAAAGUAUUUGGCUUCACCUGCCCUACUCCCAGGGAGCUGGUGGGCCAGCACUAAACCCCUGCCGGUGGGGAAGAAACAUUCUGCAGAGGAAGGGCUUUCUGCAGAGCAAGGGCUUUCUGCAGGCUGGGGCUUCUCCUGGCAUGGGCCAAAUCCUCUCGCCUCUGCGCUGGUGAUAGCUAUGGGAAGGCAAGAGCAGGGGGCUCACCUGGGUGCGUAACUCCCUGCCUGGAUCAGUGAGUGGUGCGAAACCUUCCCUUCUUCCAUAAGAUGGGUCCCGUAUGCCGUCUUGCACACCAGAAGUGAUCCGCAGGCUGGGGAGAGAGAUGCCUUGCAUCCACCACUGCAAGAGAUGGACGUAACUGUGCCAGAAGUCCCUCCCUCUCUCUCGAUUUGGCAGUAUCACCUCCCAGGAAAGAACUGAGAAAUUGGCUGGUGCUGAGGAGCAGAGCUGAAAAGUCACAGAGCAAACCGAUAAACUGGACAGAAGCAAUCACCAGGGCCUGCAGCACUCGCCAGGGCUGCAACAAACUCAGGUAUCAUGUGGGCCCUGUUGUCUAAAUUUCUGUUCCAGAAGACUGGAAGCUGCCAAAUAUGACACCAGUUUUUAAAAAAUAGUGCCCUAGGAAACUAAGGGUUUGCGAAUCUGACCUCUGCGCCAAGCAAAUUGAUCAAUAUUGUAACAAAGGAUCAAAUGAAGAGGCUUGUGUAUAUGAACCUGGAAGAAGGUUAACACAGAUUUUUGCUGUGGAGGUGAUACCUCUCAAACGCAGCUAUCUGAAGGAAGAAAUGCGUGGGUAAAUAAGGGAGAAUCUCUUAAAGACAUGUCCUUGCUUUUCCAAAAGCUUCUGACAAGCUCCCUGACCAAAAGCUUGUAAGAAACUAGUUCAUCACAAUGUAAAAGUAAAUGUCAUCUCAGGAGUUAAGAACUGUCUGAGAAGCAGACUUCACAAAGCAGAGGAGCAACCCAGGGAAAUGAGCUGAAACAUAGCGGUGUAUUUUAAGUAAAGAGAUUUUGGAGGCAGUAUGGACAAAAAAGAAAGGAGGGGGAGCAAUUCUUAAGAAAAGGAACUAAUAACAAAGUGGGAAAUUUCAUUAAAAAGGUGUAUAAAGCUCAUGUCUGGGGUAUGGUAUGCAUUAGUGCUCACCACAUCUUUAAGAGUAUAUAGUAUAUUGGAGGCAGUACAGAGCAAGGCAACAGCAGCACAGCCCAUGAACCGGAGGGGUGGAAUAGGUUAGGACUCUUCCACCUGGAAAAAGAGUGACUGAAGGAAAAUAGGGCAGAAGAGAGCACUAUUUUGAACAGUCCGAGAUCUAAAGGACAACAGAUUGUCAGCCAGCCGGUUUAAAUCAAACUAAAGGAAAUACUUUCCCAUACAGGGUCCAAAAAGCAGAUAAAGCCGUGGAGGACAGAUUCAUCUGUAGCUCCUAACAGCAGCCGCUGGCCAUGAGACAGGACAGGAUGAGUGAGCUGGACCUUUCUGCCUCCUCCCUUAGCGGUUCUUAUAUUCUGAUGCUGCCUGGGCUUCUCUUGGCAUCUGAUCCUCAAGGACCGAUUUUGCUCGCGCAGGAGCCCCUGGCUGAACGCAGAGAGAUCUUGGUGCUGCUUGCGGGCUGGACUUCGGAUAUCCCGGCCCCUGCGAAACCUGAGGCCAUGCUGGGUUGGUAACAGCACGGGGAGCUGGCUGCAGGGUCAGAAUACCAGCCCCAGCCCCGUUCAUACCAGGAGGGAUUCCAGACACCCAAAACCAGCCCGUCAGAGACACGUUCGGGCCGUGCAGCUGAAAAGCAGGAGCCGGAGAAGACACGCAAGCAGGCUGGGCCAGGAGGGGUCACGUAUCCGGAGGCGGGGGGGGACACAAGCCUCUGGAUCAGUUGCCAGACAAAGGUGGGCAGCUUCAAGGGCUGCACCCUGCUCUGCUCCGGCAGACAAACUCGUAGUGCAGUUGGCCCAGGGGCAGCAGCUGCGUUAAUCCUGGCCCUGCUCUUUAUCUAAGGCCCCAUCAAUAAAAUCAGAUGGGCCAACGCUGUGUCUUGCACCCCUUCCCGUGCUUUCUGUUCCCCCGAGCUCUUCAAGGCAGAGAGCACGGCAUGGAGGGACUGGUCUGACUCUCUGGUUUUACCUGCUGCCAGGACAUUGCUGAAGAAGCCUGUGGCCAGCAGAGAUCCCUGGCUGAACCCAGAGCAAAACUCCGGGAGAGAUGUGGCCAGCCCAGCCCUGAGUGCAGCAAAGCAACCUGCUUCCCAAAAUUAAAACGCCGCCUGCUUUCAGAAACCUGCCUAAGGUGUGCGGAUCAAGCCACACCUCGAAAACCUUGCAGACAACCUGAAGUGGCUGCUGUCUUUCAUUUGGAGGCAGCUUUGCUAGACCUUGAAUCGUUCCUACGCCUCCUCCCUGCAUUUCCUCCAAGUUGUCAACGUCUGCUUUGAAACGCAGACAACAGACCUGCACCCAUAUUGCAGCAAUGGUCUUGCUCCCGCCACGCACAGAGAUAGGCUGCUUCCCCUCUAUUCACUGCUCCUUUGCUAAAGCCAGCAAGACUGUUUGCCUGCUAAGCCCCCUUUUGUCCUGGGAGCUUAUGCCCAGCUCAUGUUAUUUCCACAACCGCCUAAGGCCCUUUCAGCACUGCUGCUUUCCGAGGGAAAGACCCUGUCCUGUAAGUGUGACCCCCAUUCUUCCUUCCUAGAGGCAUUUGGCCAUGGUCAAUGCACGCCCCCCUAAGCCCAGGUUUCCAUGGAGUCCAGAGCAGUGGGGAAUGUACCUGGCUGUGUCGUUGCUUGUAACUCCAUCAGGCUUCGUCCCUCGUCCGGAGACACUGCCGGCAGUGAUUUGAUGGGUUUAUACAGUGCUUUCUUCCAAAUCACUGCUCGAGAUAUUGAACAGCAUCAGGCCGAGAACAGUUUCUGAAGACUUGGCAGCUAAGAAAAACGAAAUGCAUUGUUUUACGGCAGUCUAAGACUCUGUAUAUAAUAAACCCAGCCAUUCUUAGCGAGUGGCCUGGUCACCUCAGAAGGGAUGGAUUCAGGUUUGAAUGACCAGGUCACUCUCCUUUAGCAGUGUGCAAUAAUUGGGUACAGUUCCCACCGCUGCUGGUAGAAGCUGGACCUAAAUUUGGUCUGGUGGGACAUAUUGUGACCCCACAAAAAAUCCACUGUUUCUUUGUACAGGUUUGACCGUUUCCUCUCAGAAAGGAUGGAGCAGAACUAGAAAAGGUCCAGAAAAAGCUGCUGGGGAUGAUCAGAGGUAUGGAGUGGCUACACCAUGUGCCCAAACCUGGGCUAGCACGAGGAGCAGGCUGAUGCUGAGCAGAGGACUGGCUGAGGACACAUAUCUGAAAAGCCAGCACAGCACCGUAUGCCUUGAGAAUAGCCCGAAGGAAUGGUCUGAUGGCCACAGUCAUCCUGGCUGGCAGGACGGGUGCUUGAGGUCAAGGACUGAAGUCUCAUAUAGGUCUGGGACGUGUCUGGAAGCACGUCCCACCCCGAGCCAGCGCACACUGCCUGGUGGCUGCCAGACCCGUACCGGGCACCGGUGCAGAGGUGCCUGGCGUGCGUGACGAGGCAGGCCAGCCCUUCCCUGGUGGGGCUGCCAAGGCAGUUUGGGAACGGUGCCACCACCGCAAAGCAUGCUGCCAAUGUGUCACUGUUUGCUGAGGGCUUUCACCCGUCACCGGAGCCGUCCCUGACUCGGGCAACUCCUUGGAGCUGGGCAAGGAGCUGCCAUCCUGCCCACGCAGCCAGCCUGGGGCUGCCAUGCUUGGCUGAUUAUGAAUUUUGGGCAGCAGAGGUGGGACAGAAGGCAGCACAGACCUGGGAGCUGGGGAGACGGGACGGGUGGCUGCAAGCCUGAACGUCUUGGUUUGGAGAGGAAAGGUUCAGGCUCACGCAGAGCGGUUCCCCCUCUUCAGCGUGGCAGUGACUGGGGUCAGCCAGUAGCUUUGAGGGCUCAAAAGCUUCAGGAGGGAUCUGCUGUGGCUGGACCAGGGAGAUGAAAGGAGUCUCCUCCUUGCAACUAGGAGUCCUCACCUUGAUUUAGCCAGCUUCUAAGCUGUCCGUGCUUAAUGGACCCAAAGUGAAUGGCUGUUUGCUGGGGGAUGAGGAGCAGGCCAGGCUGCUGGACCAGUUUUGGAUCCUAUUCAUGAGAAGCUCUUUCUUGCUCUUUGCUAUGGUGUCAGCACCUGAAGGGCUGAGUUAGUGAUCCCAUGUGCAUGCAGCACGUGGCCCCAAAUGCUUCGAGAGCUCGCUACCUCCUUGAGCCAGCCCGGCCUGGUACCGCGCGGCUGCAGAACAGCCAGAUCUAAGUGUAACCCUCAACGCAGCUAGGACAAAUGCUGCUCCUGGAUCCCAAUGCGCUUUCGGGUGUGAAUGAAUGAAGUCGCCUUGCAAGUGCUGGGCAGAUACCGCCCAAACAAAUGACCACAAAUAUUCAAUUACA
Long non-coding RNA from Dromaius novaehollandiae (emu), 16132 nucleotides. RefSeq lists it as uncharacterized. NCBI's taxonomy places the organism in Eukaryota, Metazoa, Chordata, Aves, Casuariiformes, Dromaiidae. The record is from RefSeq and is a predicted model, not a curated record. The transcript is spliced from 12 exons.